UGGGGAAUUUUGGACAAUGGGGGCAACCCUGAUCCAGCAACGCUGCGUGAAGGACGAAGGUCUUCGGAUUGUAAACUUCUUUUGUUCGGGACGAAAGCCGCAAGGUUUGACGGUACCGGAUGAAUAAGCCACGGCUAACUACGUGCCAGCAGCCGCGGUAAGACGUAGGUGGCGAGCGUUAUUCGGAAUCACUAGGCGUAAAGCGCGUGUAGGCGGGUGCUUAAGUCUGCUGUGAAAUCUCCCGGCUCAACUGGGAGGGGUCAGCAGAUACUGAGCGUCUAGAGUGAGGCAGGGGGUACUGGAAUUCCCGGUGUAGCGGUGAAAUGCGUAGAUAUCGGGAGGAACAUCAAUGGCGAAGGCAGGUACCUGGGCCUUUACUGACGCUAAGACGCGAAAGCUAGGGGAGCAAACAGGAUUAGAUACCCCCGUAGUCC
This 434-nucleotide ribosomal RNA is filed under the name uncultured bacterium. RNAcentral describes it as "bacterial SSU rRNA". It matches the Rfam family "Bacterial small subunit ribosomal RNA", at positions 355 to 796 of the family's 1533-position model. The record is from RNAcentral.